Ciona savignyi (Pacific transparent sea squirt) is the source of this 73-nucleotide non-coding RNA. The record is from Rfam. Lineage: Eukaryota; Metazoa; Chordata; Ascidiacea; Phlebobranchia; Cionidae.
GCUUCGAUAGCGCAGUAGGCAUCGCGUGAGUCUCAUAAUCUCAAGGUCGUGAGUUCGAUCCUCACUCGGGGCA